UUGCCGCCAUAUCACGUUCAAACGUCGGUUUCCGUACGAUCGAUCACCAAAGCUAAGCAACGUCGAGCCUGGACAGUACUUAGAUGGGUGACCGCUUUGGAAUACCAAAUGCUA
Molecule: non-coding RNA, 114 nt
Organism: Acanthosepion pharaonis
Lineage: Eukaryota; Metazoa; Mollusca; Cephalopoda; Sepiida; Sepiidae
Source: the annotation of a GenBank genome assembly